AUUGAACGCUGGCGGCAGGCUUAACACAUGCAAGUCGAGCGGGGGAAGGUAGCUUGCUACUGGACCUAGCGGCGGACGGGUGAGUAAUGCUUAGGAAUCUGCCUAUUAGUGGGGGACAACAUCUCGAAAGGGAUGCUAAUACCGCAUACGUCCUACGGGAGAAAGCAGGGGAUCUUCGGACCUUGCGCUAAUAGAUGAGCUUAAGUCGGAUUAGCUAGUUGGUGGGGUAAAGGCCUACCAAGGCGACGAUCUGUAGCGGGUCUGAGAGGAUGAUCCGCCACACUGGGACUGAGACACGGCCCAGACUCCUACGGGAGGCAGCAGUGAGGAAUAUUGGACAAUGGGGGGAACCCUGAUCCAGCCAUGCCGCGUGUGUGAAGAAGGCCUUAUGGUUGUAAAGCACUUUAAGCGAGGAGGAGGCUACUCUAGUUAAUACCUAGGGAUAGUGGACGUUACUCGCAGAAUAAGCACCGGCUAACUCUGUGCCAGCCGCCGCCGUAA
This 501-nucleotide ribosomal RNA is filed under the name uncultured bacterium. Its description in RNAcentral is "partial 16S ribosomal RNA". It matches the Rfam family "Bacterial small subunit ribosomal RNA", at positions 30 to 523 of the family's 1533-position model. The record is from RNAcentral.